UGAGAGUUAAAGAGAAAUAGAAAUAGGAAGUUGGAGUUUCUAGACUGCUGAGUUACUUCACGGUUUUGAGGUUUGUAUCCAUUAUUUCUUGAGGGAUUUAUAAUUUCUUGAACAUUUUAACUUACUUGUGAUUAGAUUGGAGUUUUCUUAAUGAUUUUAUGGUGCCAAAAUAGGGGUAAUUAAUUACAAGAAUUUGAAAGAAAGUAAUCUGGACAGAGAUGAGGAUUUGCUAGAAUUGAAUGGUUUCAACCUUGAUUUUGUAUGAUAGUUAGAGUCUAACUCAUACAUAUCAAUAUGAAUGUUUUUAUAUGCAGUCAUGGAGUAUAGAAAUGAUGUUAAUGGCCUAGAUUUUUGUUGGUAGCAUACUAAUAAAAUGGAAAAUCGAAAACUGUCACAAGGAAAAUAAAACUACCUGAUUUUGUGUGGUGAAAAAGGGAUGGUUUUUGAGGUUGAAAACACUUCACUUGUCACGACUUUAGGGCAUGAUUACCAUCACAUACAUGUUAUAGAAAUGUGGUAAGAAUUUGGGAGUCGUUUGAUAUAGUUAAGGGGGUGAAAGAGGAUUGGAAAAAUAGUUUGACGAUGAUGGAAAUCUGAAUAACAGAUUCUGUCCAUUUCCUUGUUUAAUAUCGUUUCAACCUUUACAUAUCCAUUAAUCAUAUCUUGGGCCUAGGAAAUAGAUUUUAGUGAGUACUAGGUUUUUGACAACAACUGGAUGACGUUGACGUUCAUAGUUGGACUCGAGAAAUAGUGAGAUUUAUAGGACUAGUUUGUAAUGCCAUCGGUAACUUAAAAAGAUGAAUUUGUCCAAAUUAUUUUGGCAUGAAUGGAUGUAUUUUGGGAUUGUGUGUGUUAACGUUAUUAAAUUGAGGAUUGUCUUUAAUAUUAGAUGGUAAUACACAUGAUUUUUCGGCUAUGAACAAAAAAAGAAAAUUGAUACACACUUCAUAGGAGCUUGCACACACAAGGGCGAAAUGUAAGUAAAAAUCCAUUUCCAAAUACGAUGCAAGAACCCAGUAUUUGUGAUAUGGUAAUGUUGGAAUAUUUACAUAACUUUGAUAAGAGACUUAUAACACAUCAUGAUGAUUAUGAUCGUUGAGUAUGAGGUUGAGGUUGAGGUUGAGGUUGACAAACCUAUUGACAUCGAUUUUCAUCAGCUAUGUCAAUCAUGAGAAUUUUCAUGAGCAUGAACGACAUGUGAUCAUGAUUGAAAAUCCUACAUAUGAAACAUGAUUUCAAAUUGAGUUCUCCUUAUAAAUGUUUUAUUGACCACUACUAGGGUACUGAGGCAUGUGAGGCAUGCUUAUGUGAUAUGUUUUGACAUCGUGAGUGAUACUUCCUGGGUGAUUGCAAAAGUAGAUAGGGGAUGGGCCUUUGGUGAUCACGGAAGGGUGGACCACUCGACUAUGCCCUUGCGAUAUUAUGAUUAUUGGAGUUGCCGGUGGGAUACUUCUUGGAAGAUCGUAGAGAUAGUUAGGGGAUGUGCCUCUAGUUGUCACGAGAGGAUGGUCCACUCCCCGGUGUUGAUUUCAUAUUGGUCAUUUGAUUAUUAAUUAUUGAUAUUGAUAUUAUGCAGAGCUCUAUCCGGUGCAUAGUAGGUAGGUCAAGGGCCCAAUGAAAAGAAAACUUUCAAAUGAAAUGAUUUUGAAUUGACUUUGAUGAUUAUUGGAAUAUGAUGCAUCUUUAGCAUAAUAUUUAAAAUGAAUGACAUGGUGUCAUAUUAUUGUUACUCAUACUCAUGAUAUGCAUGAUUUUUGCUUGCUAAGCAUUAACUUAUGUAGUUCUUGCAUUGUAGGUGAGUAUGGAACUAUGUAGAGAUCAUGGCUAUCUGUGGAGCUCUUAUGGGAUUCCAGAGUUUGAUGUACAUGGAUGACGGCCAGUAGGGUUAUUUUGUGGGCUGUUGUCUAUUGUGUUAUAUUUUGGGGAUUUUGUAUUGUAUCACUUUUGUAAUGGCCUGUAGAUAUGUUUAUAACAUUAGAACAUAUGUGUUAGAUUAUGGUUAUAUGAUCUUUGAUUUCGAUAUA
This 2024-nucleotide long non-coding RNA is filed under the name Olea europaea (common olive). RNAcentral describes it as "long non-coding RNA (OEUR_LNC000624)". The record is from RNAcentral. Lineage: Eukaryota; Viridiplantae; Streptophyta; Magnoliopsida; Lamiales; Oleaceae.